This 465-nucleotide ribosomal RNA is filed under the name uncultured Klebsiella sp. Its description in RNAcentral is "bacterial SSU rRNA". It matches the Rfam family "Bacterial small subunit ribosomal RNA", at positions 338 to 795 of the family's 1533-position model. The record is from RNAcentral. Lineage: Bacteria; Pseudomonadati; Pseudomonadota; Gammaproteobacteria; Enterobacterales; Enterobacteriaceae.
CCUACGGGUGGCUGCAGUGGGGAAUAUUGCACAAUGGGCGCAAGCCUGAUGCAGCCAUGCCGCGUGUGUGAAGAAGGCCUUCGGGUUGUAAAGCACUUUCAUCGGGGAGGAAGGCGGUGAGGUUAAUAACCUCAUCGAUUGACGUUACCCGCAGAAGAAGCACCGGCUAACUCCGUGCCAGCAGCCGCGGUAAUACGGAGGGUGCAAGCGUUAAUCGGAAUUACUGGGCGUAAAGCGCACGCAGGCGGUCUGUCAAGUCGGAUGUGAAAUCCCCGGGCUCAACCUGGGAACUGCAUUCGAAACUGGCAGGCUAGAGUCUUGUAGAGGGGGGUAGAAGUCCAGGUGUAGCGGUGAAAUGCGUAGAGAUCUGGAGGAAUACCGGUGGCGAAGGCGGCCCCCUGGACAAAGACUGACGCUCAGGUGCGAAAGCGUGGGGAGCAAACAGGAUUAGAUACCCCGGUAGUC